RNAcentral lists this ribosomal RNA (497 nucleotides) under uncultured bacterium. RNAcentral describes it as "partial 16S ribosomal RNA". It matches the Rfam family "Bacterial small subunit ribosomal RNA", at positions 28 to 507 of the family's 1533-position model. The record is from RNAcentral.
GAUGAACGCUGGCGGCGUGCCUAAUACAUGCAAGUCGAGCGAACAGAUGAGGAGCUUGCUCCUCUGACGUUAGCGGCGGACGGGUGAGUAACACGUGGAUAACCUACCUAUAAGACUGGGAUAACUUCGGGAAACCGGAGCUAAUACCGGAUAAUAUAUUGAACAGCAUGGUUCAAUAGUGAAAGACGGUUUUGCUGUCACUUAUAGAUGGAUCCGCGCCGCAUUAGCUAGUUGGUAAGGUAACGGCUUACCAAGGCAACGAUGCGUAGCCGACCUGAGAGGGUGAUCGGCCACACUGGAACUGAGACACGGUCCAGACUCCUACGGGAGGCAGCAGUAGGGAAUCUUCCGCAAUGGGCGAAAGCCUGACGGAGCAACGCCGCGUGAGUGAUGAAGGUCUUCGGAUCGUAAAACUCUGUUAUUAGGGAAGAACAAAUGUGUAAGUAACUAUGCACGUCUUGACGGUACCUAAUCAGAAGGCCACGGCUAACUACGUG